AGGUAAAUCAUUUUUCUUGGUUUUGCUGGAUUUUCUGGACUCAUCAGGUUCCACCAGGAAGUUCUGUCCUCUCUUCCUCUAUGAUAAAACCAACAGAGGACAUAUCAGUUUUGAUGGUGGCUCUUCUGAGAGUGACCUGUGGGCACCAACCUGUAUCCCAAGGCAGGUAUUUGAUGGUGGUAGAACCCAACAAGUUUGGCAUGUGAAUAGAUGACCCUAUGGAACAGAUUAGCCUGUAGCUUCAGGCACAGAAGAUUAAGGCUCAAAAUAGACUAUUUUGUAGAUGAUAUGAGCUAAGCUCACCUAGGCGUAGCUCAUAACAUGAACAAAACCCAAAAAGCAUUCCAGAACAGAAGAUCCUGACCUCAUCCAGCAAUAAGUUCCUGAGAAGACUUGUCAACUGGCUCUCGGUGAAGAAGGCAGACAAAGGGUUAAGAGCCCGGGAUGGACAGCGAAGUAAGGAGAGGACAGUCUGCAAGGGCAAGUCCUCCUUUCUGCCAUGAAAUGUGGUUCUGCAAUCUUAGCCUAAUUGCAUUGGGGUGUCGGUAGCAUGUCAGCACUGUAUAACAUCUAGCGAGGUUAAGACCAUGUUAAUUUGUACACACAAGGGGAUUGAAGGAAUUAGGAAGGGGGAGGAAGAGAAAGUAUAUGAGGGAGGAGGAGGAGGGAGGACACUGAAACAUGAAAAUGCUGUGCUUGUGUGGUGUGGUUUUGUUGUUUUUGUUUGUUUUUUUCUUCAUUUCCAAAGCAGGAAUACAAAUGAUCCCAACAAAGCCCAAGCUGUCCUGAAACCCUGUAGCCAAUUAGUGCACAUCAAUAUUUAAUCAGAUCUAUGCUAUUGUGCAGCCCGGGCUGUGCUACUUGAGGCCUUGCCACGCUAAUUCUCUCCUCCCAUCACAGACACACUGUUAUGACACAUAAUGAUAUUGUCAAUUAAUAAUUUAAAGCAUUUUUUCUCCUCUUUCUUUCUCC
Long non-coding RNA from Dermochelys coriacea (leatherback sea turtle), 972 nucleotides. RefSeq lists it as uncharacterized. The transcript has 3 exons. The record is from RefSeq and is a predicted model, not a curated record. NCBI's taxonomy places the organism in Eukaryota, Metazoa, Chordata, Testudines, Dermochelyidae.